Molecule: ribosomal RNA, 546 nt
Filed under: uncultured bacterium
Lineage: Bacteria
Description: bacterial SSU rRNA
Rfam family: Bacterial small subunit ribosomal RNA
Source: RNAcentral
AUUAGCUAGUUGGUGAGGUAACGGCUCACCAAGGCAACGAUGCGUAGCCGGCCUGAGAGGGUGAACGGCCACAUUGGAACUGAGACACGGUCCAGACUCCUACGGGAGGCAGCAGUGGGGAAUAUUGCACAAUGGGCGAAAGCCUGAUGCAGCAACGCCGCGUGAGUGAUGAAGGCCUUCGGGUUGUAAAGCUCUGUCUUCUGGGACGAUAAUGACGGUACCAGAGGAGGAAGCCACGGCUAACUACGUGCCAGCAGCCGCGGUAAUACGUAGGUGGCAAGCGUUGUCCGGAUUUACUGGGCGUAAAGGAUGCGUAGGCGGAUACUUAAGUCAGAUGUGAAAUUCCCGGGCUUAACUUGGGAACUGCAUUUGAAACUGGGUAUCUAGAGUGUGGGAGAGGAAAGUGGAAUUCCUAGUGUAGCGGUGAAAUGCGUAGAGAUUAGGAAGAACACCAGUGGCGAAGGCGACUUUCUGGACCAUAACUGACGCUGAGGCAUGAAAGCGUGGGGAGCAAACAGGAUUAGAUACCCUGGUAGUCCACGCCGU